This 402-nucleotide ribosomal RNA is filed under the name uncultured Lachnospiraceae bacterium. RNAcentral describes it as "bacterial SSU rRNA". It matches the Rfam family "Bacterial small subunit ribosomal RNA", at positions 355 to 774 of the family's 1533-position model. The record is from RNAcentral. Lineage: Bacteria; Bacillati; Bacillota; Clostridia; Lachnospirales; Lachnospiraceae.
UGGGGAAUAUUGCACAAUGGGGGAAACCCUGAUGCAGCGACGCCGCGUGAAGGAUGAAGUAUUUCGGUAUGUAAACUUCUAUCAGCAGGGAAGAAAAUGACGGUACCUGACUAAGAAGCCCCGGCUAACUACGUGCCAGCAGCCGCGGUAAUACGUAGGGGGCAAGCGUUAUCCGGAUUUACUGGGUGUAAAGGGAGCGUAGACGGCAUGGCAAGUCUGAAGUGAAAGCCCGGGGCUCAACCCCGGACUGCUUUGGAAACUGUCAGGCUAGAGUGCUGGAGAGGUAAGUGGAAUUCCUAGUGUAGCGGUGAAAUGCGUAGAUAUUAGGAGGAACACCAGUGGCGAAGGCGGCUUUACUGGACAGUGACUGACGUUGAGGCUCGAAAGCGUGGGGAGCAAACA